CCUACGGGUGGCUGCAGUGGGGAAUUUUCCGCAAUGGGCGAAAGCCUGACGGAGCAAUACCGCGUGAGGGAGGAAGAUUUUUGGAUUGUAAACCUCUUUUUUAAAGGAAGAAGAAAGUGACGGUACUUUAAGAAUCAGCAUCGGCUAACUCCGUGCCAGCAGCCGCGGUAAUACGGAGGAUGCAAGCGUUAUCCGGAAUCAUUGGGCGUAAAGCGUCCGCAGGUGGCUGUUCAAGUCUGCUGUUAAAGACAGAAGCUCAACUUCUGAGCAGCAGU
This 275-nucleotide ribosomal RNA is filed under the name uncultured bacterium. Its description in RNAcentral is "partial 16S ribosomal RNA". It matches the Rfam family "Bacterial small subunit ribosomal RNA", at positions 338 to 627 of the family's 1533-position model. The record is from RNAcentral.